AAUUAAUCAUGAAUGAGGAUAGUAAUUUUUAAUUUUUGUGUGCAUGAGAAAAACACUCAACAGAUUUGACAAUUAGAGCAGGGUAACAGCAUUGCAUGGCACAAUGUGAAGUAGUUUUUCCCAGUGGUUUUUGAGAGGGAGCUAAACAGAUGUGCUCAAAUAUUUACAAGUGCACAAUAUUCACAUGCUUUUCAAAUGCUGACCCUGCUGAUUCGGAAAAGUCUGCUUCAAUCUGGAGACCAGCUACUGCGGUGACAUGGGCUAUUUAUCAUAGGUAACACAGCGGCGCUACUGCCAGCUCCCAGCGUACUUGUGUGCAGUUAUCUCCUACUCCGUUGACGGUGUUACACCUCCUCCGCAGCUCAUCUGUGUCACCAAGUUGUCAUGAGGCAGCCCUGGCAGCAAGCUGGGCAUCCGGGUGGCUCAGCCCAGCUCCCUGCUUCAGUAGCCAAAGGAGAGCCAGAAAAUGACAGGCUCACUAAGAUCAACCCGAGAGCAGGCUUGGGCUCUGCAAGAGGAUGUGAGUGGUUGCCUUGAGACUCCCUGGCUGCCUUGCACCAGUCCUGCUCUUCAGAGAGUGCUGCCUGGCAGAGAUUCACCCUGGACAAGGGUGGUGAAAAUGCCUGAUUCCUGCUUCUCCUUGUCCUGCCUGACCUGCCAAUAUCCAGACUGA
Molecule: long non-coding RNA, 673 nt
Filed under: Struthio camelus australis
Lineage: Eukaryota; Metazoa; Chordata; Aves; Struthioniformes; Struthionidae
Description: lncRNA (ENSSCUG00000001159.1)
Source: RNAcentral